Vitis vinifera (wine grape) is the source of this 2931-nucleotide RNA transcript. It is a transcript of the gene named DNA excision repair protein ERCC-1, with no coding region annotated. The record is from RefSeq and is a predicted model, not a curated record. The transcript is spliced from 10 exons. Lineage: Eukaryota; Viridiplantae; Streptophyta; Magnoliopsida; Vitales; Vitaceae.
CACCCUGAACUUAAAACUGUAGAGCACGGGCCACCAAAUCUGAGGUCUCACUCUGAAGGCAAAAAUAUGAACAAAGAAGAAGAAGAAAAGCAGAGAGAAAGAGAUGACGAGAAGAAGAACAAAAGCUCGAUAGUAAUAAAGAUACCUUCAUACCAAGAAGUUCUGGAGAGCUCUCAAUCCAAAACCACCUCGUCUCUCUUCACUCCUUCCCCUUCUUUCUCUCAGGCCUUCUCCUUCGUCAAAUCCUCCCAAUCCUACACUCCUCCUCCUCCUGCUACUCCUCCUCCUCCACCCCCUCCCUCUUCCAGGCAAGUUGAGCAAUUGGAGGCUCCUUCUUCGUCUUCUUCUUCGCCUUCGUUGUCGAGGUCUGCUCAGAGUCGCAAUGCAAUUCUUGUGAGCCAUAGGCAGAAGGGAAAUCCCUUGCUCAAACACAUCAGGAAUGUGAGGUGGGAUUUUGCAGAUAUUGUUUGUGACUACCUGCUUGGGCAGAACUCCUGUGCACUCUAUCUAAGUCUUCGGUAUCAUCUGCUUCAUCCUGACUACCUAUACUAUCGUAUAAGAGAAUUGCAGAAGAACUUCAAGCUUCGUGUUGUUUUAUGCCAUGUUGAUGUGGAGGAUGUUAUUAAACCUUUACUUGAAGUCACUAGAACAGCUCUACUUCAUGAUUGCACCCUUUUGUGUGCUUGGAGCUUGGAAGAAUGUGGGCGGUACUUGGAGACAAUUAAAGUCUACGAAAACAAGUCUGCAGACAUUAUUCAAGGACAAACAGAUACAGACUAUUUAUCACGGCUAACUCAUGCUCUAACAACAGUUCGACAUGUUAACAAGACUGAUGUAGUUACCCUUGGUUCCACAUUUGGGUCUCUUUCUCAUAUCAUGGAUGCAUCGAUGGAAGAUCUAGCUCGUUGCCCUGGUAUAGGGGAGCGCAAGGUCAAUGCUCACAAUUUCCAUUGAUGCAAAUUGAAGAAAGAAUUGAAGCAAGCUCAUGUCCAAGGCAUCAUCAAAAGCUUAACACAUGUCACUCUAAUCCAUAAAUUACAUCUCUUUGCUCUUAUCUUAAAAAUCGUUGGCUUCCAAUUGAGUUUGCUUUUCUACCUGUUGGUAGAACCUUGGUAUUUAGUUUCUUGCGUUCUUGCCUUAUUGGGUUACUAGCCAGAGAACAAAAUAGUCCUUUCAAAUUGCAGAAAGCCAGAGUGAGAGGCCUGAAACUCAAAGCGCAGAAAAAGGCCAGGCAGGACCCUCAACAGCCCAAUACAGAGGUUCAGUUGCAGCUUCUCCAAGUUUCACUUCGUAUCUCUCUCUUCCUUACUGUUAGGUGUGGUUUUUCAUUUCUUCUGUGGAUAUAGGCAAGUUUUUCCUUGUACCAUAAUUGUAGAACAAACUUCAUAGUACUGCCAAUUACUUCACCUCUAUUCUUUAUGUUCAGAGCUUGUCAAAAUGUAUGAUAUUUGCUCUGAGCAUUCUUUCUGCUUGUUCAUUUUGAAAGCUUUGGACAACCGAAACGGGAUUCAUACAUAUUCGCUAGAAACCUAUAAAGAUUGGUUCCAUAAUUUCCACAAUUGUGAUGCAAAAUGUAAGUGCAUUGAUGCAGCAGGGCAACUAUGUUGUUGAUAAAAUGAACAACUUUUUUUAUCAUCAUAGAUUGAAUGUGCCUCUCUUCUUAUGAGUUGGAUUGAGAAGGGUUCUUCAUUAGUCUGCUUCUGUGUUCAAUGCCCACUGGAUUGCACCAAGUCAGAUUAUUAUACCUGCUUUGUGGAUCUCCUUGACCAGGACAGUUUGUCAGAGGUGGAAAAAAUUUCAUUGAUAGAUACUGAUUAAACUGGGUAGUGUUGUACAGGAUUCAUGUAAAUUAAUAGAAUAUGAUCAAAACCAUGGUGGCAGUCAUGUUCUUUCUAACGGGUAUUCUGAGUCCAUGAAAGGAGAAGAUGUUGAAGAAGACAGAACCAUGAGAAGAUAUAUUAACUGGGUUGAAGGGCUUGCUGGAAACAGAUCCCAAGAAAAAAACACAGGAGGCCUGUCUGAUGUGGAAAAAAAUGAUCAGAGAGAUGGAAGAAUCUAGGGCAUAAGGGCAGGACAAGGGGACUAUCUGGGGCAAAUCUUAUGCUUUGCUUGGGGGUUUAUCUGCAGUACGGCUGUUGGAGAUGACUAAGGCUGCAAGCUGUUGCAACACCAAUCCUGGUUCUACUUUCAAAGAUAUUCUAUGGUUCAAGAUGGUUGCUUACAAAGGACAAUAACAUCUUAUGUACCAAGCCAAGUUCCCAAGCUGCCUUCUGAUUCAGAGUAUUGAUGCUGGCUUCUCUGAUAAGUUUUGCUUCUCUCCUCAUGUUACUUGCUCUGGUGAAUGGUAAUGGUUGUUGCUAAAGCUCGUAGCUGUAUUAACAUGAAAUGCACAGUGGGACUUUUAAGAUGCUGAAAAAUCAGGCUGGCCAACUAUGACUCUUGUCUAAGACUCUCAAUCACAUAAACCCUGCUGAAAGACAUGAAAAUAUUGAAUGGGGUCUGAAAGAAUCCAUAGAAUCUUUUUCUUUUUUUUUAAUAACAAAUUGCUGAAUAUUUUCAGUGAGUCUCUGUGGGAUGAACCUGGAAAGGGUUGCUUGGAUUUUGAACAGAUCGAUUUUGCAUCUUCCAUGAAGCUCCUAAUACCUUGGGCUCAGCAUCUGAAAUCUGGAGGAACAAGAGGAACUAACAGAAGAGUGAUUCUUAACCAGAGGGAUUAGUGACUGCACAACAUCUGUCAUUAGGGGCCGGUAAUCUGCUUCAUGUUGCACACACACAGCUGCAAUAGCGGCUAUCUAUAAUACCAGUACAUCAAAAGAAAAGAGGGUUAGUUGAAUGUUAAUUGUCAAUAAUGACAAUAAUGCUGAUGAUGACAGCUGCAUUAGCAGCUAUCUAUAAGACCAUUACAAAAAAAACAAAGAACGGUUAGUUGAA